RNAcentral lists this ribosomal RNA (322 nucleotides) under uncultured eukaryote. Its description in RNAcentral is "partial 18S ribosomal RNA". It matches the Rfam family "Eukaryotic small subunit ribosomal RNA", at positions 1470 to 1796 of the family's 1831-position model. The record is from RNAcentral.
CCCUUAGAUGUUCUGGGCCGCACGCGUGCUACACUGAGUAAAUCAAUGGGUAAGGGAACACGAAAGUGCAACCUAAUCUUGAAAUUUGCUCGUGAUGGGGAUCGACGGUUGCAAUUUUCCGUCGUGAACGGGGAAUACCUUGUAGGCGCGUGUCAUCAUCACGCGCCGAAUACGUCCCUGCCCUUUGUACACACCGCCCGUCGCUCCUACCGAUUGAGUGAUCCGGUGAGGCUCUGGGACCUGGACGGAAAGAGCGUUUCGCUUGUUCUGUUUGGGAAACUUGGUCGAACCUUAUCAUUUAGAGGAAGGAGAAGUCGUAACA